GUGUGGAUUUAAAUAAUGAGAUAACACAUAUAUCUAAUUAAGUAGCUAAUCAGGUAGGAUGAUAGAUGGAUUUUAUUAGUUUUGGACAGAGCAAGGCUAGCUGUUUCCAGUUUUUAUGCUAAGCUAGCCAAGACAAGUGACUGGAUGGCUUUGGUCUUAUGUUUACUACUAUUCCUUUAAUUCAUAAAACAUUUGUAGUGCAGGGAAAAUAUUUUUAUGAGCUGUGGAAAGGUCAAGUCAUCAAUGGCCGAGGCCAAGAGAAGCCUGAGCAAACACUGACUGUAAAAUGUACUAAAAAAGACUGGAAAUAUAAACCGUGUAACUCUCCAUCAUGAUUUGUGGCCACUUGUCAGUCGUGAUCCAAACUACCUAUGUGGAAAGAAUGUAACAUCUCACUUUUGUGCUUUUUGAGAAGUGGUGGUUCAGGAGUGCCAUCUGUGAAAUCUUUUCGCAACGCAGCGUUGGCCAUUGCAGAACUGAACAGUGGUGUAUUGUGUGCAUAUCAUUUUGGAGAAAUGUCUCUUUUCAUACCUUAUCGCUUCCAACAUGCUCAAUCAGCUGCUGUGAAGAAAUGUGCUUUUCUACUCAGGAUUCCAGCUCAAAUUUACAGCCACUGAACUAUACAAUAGCUCAACUGAGACAUUUUGUACAGUGCUGGGGGAAUUCACCCCACAGUGACUCGAUGAGAGCAAACAGCGCUCUUGUUCUUUAAACACAUUUCUUUGAGGACAACAGAAGAAGAGCUGGGGAGAAUGGCACAGGGCUUUGUGUUUAAGUGUGCGUGUUAAAUUUUACACAGUCAACUAACUCACAGCCCAAAAUUGACUGUAACCAACUGCUUCCCCCUGGUGGCCAUCAGAGGACCGUCAAGAUGAGACUGCACUUUCAGGUGACAGCACAUGGAGCUUAAAGAGGUGAUACAGCACAAUGAUGUCUGGAAAAAAGUGCAGCGCGCCCCCCAGUGCUGCCGCUGAUCACGUACUGAGGUUUCUACAUGAGAGUCUUUGACUAGAAAAAUACCACAACCACAAAUGUAAUUCUCACCUUCCUGUGACACCUCCGACCACUCUGGGUUGGGGAAUUCGUACUGGCCCAUCCUGAUCCUCCUCUUCAUCCCCGGAGAAAUGGCCUGGCCUGUGUUGGAGUAAAAUGGAGGGAAGCCACACAGCCUACAGAGACAAAUGUGGUGGGACAGAGACAGCAACUUUAAAAACCUUAAAAAGAUUGACCUACGCUUUGUUUGAAGGAUCCAUUUACAAAACGCAUCAUAUAAAAGCAGUACUCACAGGAUGUACAUGAUGACGCCCAGAGACCACAUGUCACAUGACUUGUCAUACUUCUCCGGACCCAAAACCUCAGGAGCUUAUCAUUGGCAAAACACAAACACACAGAAAUAGAUAAAAAAUUAUAAAUGGAGAUCAGUGGCAAAAAAAUGGCUUCAGGCACUAUGUUGUUUUUCCUAUUUAAAAAUCUGUCAAAUGCCUGUAAGCGGUUCAUCUGUCAGGAAAAUAAGAGCAUUUUACAAAACAACUUACAAAAUAACAACUUACCCACGUAGUACGGUGUAUAACAGGGGGUCUGUAGAGGGUUGUGUAGCGUUGUCUCCUUAGCAAAGCCAAAGUCUGUUAAUUUGAGGACCCCGUUUCUUUCUUUAGUGGUAUACAGCAGGUUCUCUGGCUGGUUAGGAGGCAGAAGAAGAAAAAAAAUAAGACAGAAUGUCCUUCAGUGUCUCAGUACUAAUCACAUUCUUCAUGAUCUGGGUGGUGAUCUUCAUCUUUCUGCACCUUGAUGUCUCUGUGCGCGAUGUUGAUGUUGUGGAGGAACUCAAUGGCCGUGCCGAUGUCCCUCAUAAUCUCAGAAGCCUCUGGGAGGAAAAUAGGAAAACACACUCUCUCAAACCAGACACAAGAGAUACAAAUGAAACAGAGGAACAAUCAAACAGGUUAUUUUCUGUUGUGUACUGUCUGCCUUAUAUUGCUCUUUCCUGGGAAUAAUGGUUCAGUCUUUCUCUCACACAUUCUGUGAUGUGUUUAUCAGUCCUUCCCUCCAUCAGUCCUCACCUUUCUCAGUGAAGGCCUGGUCACCUCGGGCCUGGAUUCGGCUGAACAGCUCUCCUCCCUCCAUACUGGAGACACACAAACACACACACACACACACACACACACACACACACACACACACACAA
Molecule: long non-coding RNA, 2185 nt
Organism: Dicentrarchus labrax (European seabass)
Lineage: Eukaryota; Metazoa; Chordata; Actinopteri; Moronidae
Exons: 3
Source: RefSeq, a predicted model, not a curated record